CUGCUUGCAUUCGGCCAGGCCACAGCUUAUUGUGAGGAUGCCGCAGGAUUUUCCCGCGGCUAUGGCGAUAAACGGUGUGUGGAAUAGGCGUAGUGGACCCGGGGGCGGUACCCGGCGUCUCCACCAGUAUCCGGGUUGCAUGACCCGGACCGCAGGGGACGAAACAGGCUCGACACGCGCAGUAAAGACACUUCUUUUGCCCGGCAUUGUACCACCGUCAUCGGGCUAAUUUCACAAGUGCCAAUGAUAACUCUGAGGUGCUCGCUGUCGCUGCAUAAGCGAUAAGCGCGGUUCGGGAGGGCACCGGGCAACAGAAGCCCUCCCACC
RNAcentral lists this transfer-messenger RNA (327 nucleotides) under Acetobacter vaccinii. RNAcentral describes it as "Acetobacter sp. KACC 21233 transfer-messenger RNA". It matches the Rfam family "Alphaproteobacteria transfer-messenger RNA". From Rfam's summary of the family: Bacterial tmRNA, also known as 10Sa RNA or SsrA, is named for its dual tRNA and mRNA-like properties. Its role is to liberate the mRNA from a stalled ribosome. The record is from RNAcentral. Lineage: Bacteria; Pseudomonadati; Pseudomonadota; Alphaproteobacteria; Acetobacterales; Acetobacteraceae.